UUCNCUGCUGAAUAGUGUUCCAUUCUAUGA
Molecule: non-coding RNA, 30 nt
Filed under: Rattus norvegicus (Norway rat)
Lineage: Eukaryota; Metazoa; Chordata; Mammalia; Rodentia; Muridae
Source: RNAcentral